UGGAGGAAAGCAGGGGAUCGUAAGACCUUGCGCUUUUGGAGCGGCCGAUGUCUGAUUAGCUAGUUGGUGGGGUAAUGGCCUACCAAAGCUUCGAUCAGUAGCUGGUCUGAGAGGACGGCCAGCCACACUGGGACUGAGACACGGCCCAGACUCCUACGGGAGGCAGCAGUGGGGAAUUUUGGACAAUGGGCGCAAGCCUGAUCCAGCCAUGCCGCGUGAGUGAAGAAGGCCUUCGGGUUGUAAAGCUCUUUCAGCCGGGAAGAAAAGGCUGCGAUUAAUAAUCGCAGUUCAUGACGGUACCGGAAGAAGAAGCACCGGCUAACUACGUGCCAGCAGCCGCGGUAAUACGUAGGGUGCGAGCGUUAAUCGGAAUUACUGGGCGUAAAGGGUGCGCAGGCGGCUUUGUAAGUCAGAUGUGA
This 419-nucleotide ribosomal RNA is filed under the name uncultured ammonia-oxidizing beta proteobacterium. RNAcentral's name for it is "bacterial SSU rRNA". It matches the Rfam family "Bacterial small subunit ribosomal RNA", at positions 197 to 597 of the family's 1533-position model. The record is from RNAcentral. Lineage: Bacteria; Pseudomonadati; Pseudomonadota; Betaproteobacteria.